This 685-nucleotide ribosomal RNA is filed under the name uncultured bacterium. RNAcentral's name for it is "bacterial SSU rRNA". It matches the Rfam family "Bacterial small subunit ribosomal RNA", at positions 8 to 694 of the family's 1533-position model. The record is from RNAcentral.
AGAGUUUGAUCCUGGCUCAGGAUGAACGCUAGCGGCAGGCUUAACACAUGCAAGUCGAGGGGUAUAGUUUUUCGGAACUAGAGACCGGCGCACGGGUGCGUAACGCGUAUGCAAUCUACCUUUUGCAGAGGGAUAGCCCAGAGAAAUUUGGAUUAAUACCUCAUAGUAUGUGAGAAUGGCAUCAUUUUCACAUUAAAGUCACAACGGCAAAAGAUGAGCAUGCGUCCCAUUAGCUAGUUGGUAAGGUAACGGCUUACCAAGGCAACGAUGGGUAGGGGUCCUGAGAGGGAGAUCCCCCACACUGGUACUGAGACACGGACCAGACUCCUACGGGAGGCAGCAGUGAGGAAUAUUGGACAAUGGGCGCAAGCCUGAUCCAGCCAUGCCGCGUGCAGGAUGACGGUCCUAUGGAUUGUAAACUGCUUUUGUACAGGAAGAAACACUGGUUCGUGAACCAGCUUGACGGUACUGUAAGAAUAAGGAUCGGCUAACUCCGUGCCAGCAGCCGCGGUAAUACGGAGGAUCCAAGCGUUAUCCGGAAUCAUUGGGUUUAAAGGGUCCGUAGGCGGUUUAGUAAGUCAGUGGUGAAAGCCCAUCGCUCAACGGUGGAACGGCCAUUGAUACUGCUAGACUUGAAUUAUUAGGAAGUAACUAGAAUAUGUAGUGUAGCGGUGAAAUGCGUAGA